This 463-nucleotide ribosomal RNA is filed under the name Osmia californica. RNAcentral describes it as "partial 12S ribosomal RNA". Lineage: Eukaryota; Metazoa; Arthropoda; Insecta; Hymenoptera; Megachilidae. The record is from RNAcentral.
UAUUCUAAAAACAUUUUCCAAUAUUUUUACUUUGUUUCGACUUAUUUCAAAUUUUAUUGAAAUUGACGGGCAAUUUGUACAUUAUAUAAAUAAAAUUCAAAUUAUUAUAUUUAAUAAUUUUACUUUUAAAUCCUAUUUAUUAUAAAUAUUUAAAAUUUAUAAUUCAUUUAAAUUAUUUUAUUAAUGUAACUCAUAUUAAUCUAAUAAAUACUUUAUUUUGAUUUGAAUUUUUUUUAAAUUUAUAAAAUUUCAAUUCUAAUAUUUAUAUAAAAUCUUAAAACAACAAUAUAAAAAUAAUUUUAAUUUAAAUUUUAUUAGUAAUUCUUAUCGUGGAAUAACAAAUUAAUAUACAAGCUCCCCUAAAGUUUUAUAUAACCGCCAUAUUUUAUAAUUUUAAUGUUUUAACAUUUAAUAAUUAAAUUUAUUUUUUAAAUUAAUAUAAUAGGGUAUCUAAUCCUAGUUU